This is a long non-coding RNA of Calidris pugnax (ruff), 4213 nucleotides long. RefSeq lists it as uncharacterized. NCBI's taxonomy places the organism in Eukaryota, Metazoa, Chordata, Aves, Charadriiformes, Scolopacidae. The transcript has 2 exons. The record is from RefSeq and is a predicted model, not a curated record.
UACAUCACUCCUUGUUUCCAAUUCAGUAAACUGCCCUAAGUCACUUACUGAGUCAGAAAUGUCUCCUACUAUAAUGAAAUGCCAAAUCAAAUGAUAUCUGCUACCUCAUUCAGUUCAAUCAAACUCCUCCCAUGAUGGAUACAUUGUCUCUUUAAGAAGAAUUUCAUGAGCAUACCUGGACACAAUAAACAUGCCCAUGCCAGGAUUUCCAUCACAUCACAAAAUAAUCCUCAUUGCAUCACAAAUUAUCCUCUGAAAUACAGCAAUGUGAAUUAAAUACAGCACUACAUAAAUGGAUUGUGUACUAAACUAAGGAAGCUACAACAUUUCCCGACAUUCUUUGUCAUUUUUUAGCACUGAUGGGGAUCUUCAGGAUUUCCAGUAAUAAGGACACAUUUAAAAGAAUCAAAGUGUUUACGAAAUUAAUUUUCUAUUUACAUAGACAAAGCAGCAUUAGGUAAAUAAGACAUACUUGUACACAGUCAAAGUAAUGGUGGACAACCAAAUGCCUGCCUAUAAAUGUCAUUAUAGAUAGUUGUUGCUAUAAAUUAAAGAUGGCCAUGAUGAGAUAAGUUCUUUAUCCUUCGUAAUUGUUUCUAAAUAUUCUAUCUAAAACUGUGCUAUUCUUUAAAGAUGGGCGCCAAUAUGAAAAAGCUUUAAAACCAUACUUUUUACCCUGCAAUGUAAAAGGGCAUGCACCUAAACGAAAUUGAGCAGUAAAUUGGCAUUCAGCUAUAUAUCAACACGCUUCUUUUAUACUUUAAUAUUUUCACUAACAGUAUAUUUACAUAACUUGAAAGCAAGUUAUUGAGGGGUAUGAUUUACUUCCUCCAUCCUCUUUUCUGUAUAAUACUAAUAAGCUUUCUCAUGUGCUUGCUGAUAAGAGACGUGGGAUACUGCAAUAAGAAAGGAAUACCAUAUCAGUUCAGAAUUAAAAAGCACCGAAAAGAAAAGCUUGAAACAAAAUUAAAUUGCUUAUAGCAAGUGAAAUAUGAAAUAUAGGAUAAAUAAUUUAUUAGGGGAAAAAGGGUGAUCCAAGCAUAAAAGAUUAAAGCAUUCAUUUAAUAUGAAAGGUAGUACAGGUAUUUGUGACUUUUGCUUUAGAAGCCUUGGAAAAUGUUAUCAAAGACUAAUGAGCAACACGAUUUAUUUUGAUAAUUAGUCAAUUUGAUAGUUGGACACAUAUGGAAACACUUUUUUGGUGGUUUUUUUUUUUUUGGUUUGGGUUUUUUUGUGUUGUUGUUGUUUUUUUUUAUGAGUUAACACAAGGAAACGCAAAUGUUGUCCACAUGGGAUAUGAUGUGAAUGCCCAUCAAAUGUGGCAUGGAAAAAAAGUAGAUAAAUACAAAGAAAAAACGCAGAGCACCAUUGUGCUGAUAACCUGAAAAUAAAAUUAGAAAAGGUUUUUAAAAGAGGAUUUGAUCAUUAAAGUUAGUGUCAUCCAAAUAAGAAAAGUACAUUCAAUAUCUGCAUGUUGUUUGGAUACCUAGAUAUAUCUAUGGCAAGAAAAAAAUCAUCAACUAUUAACUUUCCUUUUAAAGACUUAAGAAAGACUUUAUUAUGUUUUACUUUAUGUCUGGUCUCAAAAUUCUGUGAUUGUCUUCCCCUAUCAGGAAAAAAAUUUUAGCACGUUCUACUUCCCCAGUAGAUGUAUAAUUACUUAGUUAUAAAUUAAAUACACAUACCACUGUACUUAUAUAGUAUGUACAUUUUAUAACAUAAAGAAAAAUAUAAAUUAAAAAAGAAUGAGAUGAACAUUUUAAAAAUUUUAUUAAUUAAUGGUACAAACCCCAUUUUUGAUCUUACUAAAAAAAGUAUAUUAAUAAUAUUGUGAGAAUAAUGUGUUUGAAUAUUCUUCAUUAAUUUUCAAAAUCUUGGUUUAACACUUUGUGAUACAGUGAUUCAAGUGUCUGUUUCUAAGCACAGUUUAUUUCGAUACUUGGUUUUAUUGGCCAUUAUAGCCGAAAAAGGUUCAUCUUUAAUGAUACCAGGUGCAAAUUCAUACUUCUAAUAGUCUUCUGGAUAAUUGCUGACUUCUUGUUAGAUCUGAUUGGAUCAGCUUUGCUUUUAACCUUGUAACGUGGCUGACUUGUACUAGAAGUGUCAGCUCUGCCAUUUUCUUGUUGUUCACCUAUGCAGCCAUUAUUAUCAUUAUAUUCAUUGCUCAGCUUAUUUGCAGGAUAUUUGUGCAUUUGAAGAGGAUUAGUUUAGUUAAAACUAGGCAAUGUUCCAUAAAUCCAUCGUACUGGGCAUACAAAAACUGCAAUACACUGCAAUAUACUGAAAAACGAGUGAAUGAGUGAAGGCCCCACUGUGAACCCCUCUGCAUUGUGAACACCCACUCUUCCCCCAGGAUGCUUCGCCUACUCUACGUGAUACAAGACCGUGUUCUGAAUGUCAUAUCCUUACUCUGUGUUUUGCACAUAUUUGGAGCAUGUCUCUAAGCUAACAAAUAGAUAAAAUGAAAGUAAAUGUUAACAGCAAAUUUGUUAUCUGUAAACCAACACUGCAUUCACCCGUGCGAUUCAUCUAAAUCAGAAAGGUCAGGGGAACAAAUAUUUCACUUGACACAAAAGAGUUUCUAGCACUCUAUAAUCAACCUAAGACCUCUUAUUGAAUUCAGAAAGCCACUAAUAUGUUGGACGGCGGGAAGACAGAAGACAUCAAAAAUCCACCAGUUUCACCAUCCUUCAGUUGCAAAGAUUUACCUGUCGUAUGAAACUCCGACUCGAUUCAAAGUUGUUCAUCACAUCUCACGCUGCAAAGGCAAGAAGAAAAAAACCCACCCUAAAAACUAAUUCCUAAUCAAUGUUUCCUCCUGAUCCCAAAUGCAAUGAUCAAUUUAAUGUGAAAUAGUUCUGCAAGAUAUCUCAGCUAGAGAUUUUAAAACUUAUGUCUCCUGUCAUAACAAGUCAUUGGCUGAAGAAGUUGGGCUAUAGGAAUCUGCAACCAACAAAAGAUAUUUUUGUUCGUGUCAUCAGUGGUAUCAUGAGGUGGAUAAAGGAGACCCAUAGAGUAAGAGGAAAUGAGAAAAGAACAAGGCCUCUGCAUUGUUUUAUAAAGCCAAUUGGUUUCAUUUUUUUAUAUUUAUGUUAUAGAUACACACAUAUACAGAAUUCUUAUACACAGGUUUUCAUAUACACAUACACAUUUGCACAGGUUUUCAGCUCGAAAUGGAUCGUCAUCCAGAGGAAACUGGAUAGGUCCACAUGACACCGAAGGGCAGACUAAUACCAAACUUUUUAACGAAUUUCUGUCGCAUUCUAAUCUGAUUAGUAUUACUGGGAUUUAUACGCUUACAUGAAGAUCCAUCCAACACUCCUUUAGAUAAUGUUACAAAAAUUCUAUACUUAUUCUUUAGAUAAUUGUCAUGACAUAUAUCUUACUAUUUGACUCUUCUCAGUUGCUCCAUCAUUUAUUUCUUAACAGAACACAUUAAAAUGUGGAUUCCAAUGUUCAGUAACUUUUAAUAAAAUUGGUGCCUUUAAGAAUAUGAAGGGGGACACUGUUUUCUCACAGUGAAUUUUAGGAAGUUGAUAUUAUCUUUAAUUUUUUCUACUGCUGUUUCUCUCAUCUGAAGGAGUACAUGAUGAGGAAAACAUAAGACCAUUUUUAAGUUUUGUGCACAAGUUAAAUAAUUUCCUUCUGCUUCAUUAAUUUCUUUCAACAGGUCCUCAUUUUCCAGUGCUUCUGACUGGGCUAUCAUCUUAAGAUUAAGCAGCAAAGAACUGAAUGUCAGAUCUUUGGGACUCAGCAGUGAAAAACUUUCCAGCAAAAAAACCAAAAGAGCACAAGAAACAAUUUUGAACUGAUUUAUAAUUGGGCUAAGAUCUAGGUGUUCAGAUACAAAUCAAAUCCCGCCAUCAGCUUUGUUUAAGAGAAGCAAAGAAUGAAGACCAGAGGCUUCCAGCAAUUCUAGACUGCCAUGGAUCUUAUUCUAGAACUGGAGGUUUUGCUCCCAUUUUCAGUUUCAUAUGGCUUUUACUCCCUCCUAAUACUGAUUCUUCAAAGAGGCUCUUGUUCUGUGGUAUCUUGAGUCUGACUUCUGCCUGCCUUGAUCCGGUAAAUUUAUUCUGUAAAUUCUGAGGACUGUUAUCUCUGGCUCCUCAGCCCUAAUGUGCUUUACGUUGUGACUUCCACAGAUCUCAAUGCAACCUCAACAUUCGCACACUGACAGUAAUUUUAGGAUGCAAAGAGCCUCUACAACACUUGA